This 68-nucleotide transfer RNA is filed under the name Trigonopterus sp. 3 AH-2016. RNAcentral's name for it is "tRNA-Asp". It matches the Rfam family "tRNA". Rfam says of the family: Transfer RNA (tRNA) molecules are approximately 80 nucleotides in length. Their secondary structure includes four short double-helical elements and three loops (D, anti-codon, and T loops). Further hydrogen bonds mediate the characteristic L-shaped molecular structure. tRNAs have two regions of fundamental functional importance: the anti-codon, which is responsible for specific mRNA codon recognition, and the 3' end, to which the tRNAs corresponding amino acid is attached (by aminoacyl-tRNA synthetases). tRNAs cope with the degeneracy of the genetic code in two manners: having more than one tRNA (with a specific anti-codon) for a particular amino acid; and 'wobble' base-pairing, i.e. permitting non-standard base-pairing at the 3rd anti-codon position. The record is from RNAcentral. Lineage: Eukaryota; Metazoa; Arthropoda; Insecta; Coleoptera; Curculionidae.
AAAAAUUUAGUUAAACCUAUAACAUUAGCCUGUCAAGCUAAAAUUAUUAUUAUUCAUAAUAAUUUUUA